CGGCGGAACACGUGAAAUUCCGUCGGAAUCCGGGAGGACCAUCUCCCAAGGCUAAAUACUCCCUAGUGACCGAUAGUGAACCAGUACCGUGAGGGAAAGGUGAAAAGCACCCCGGAAGGGGAGUGAAACAGUUCCUGAAACCGUGUGCCUACAAGUAGUUAGAGCCCGUUAAUGGGUGAUAGCGUGCCUUUUGUAGAAUGAACCGGCGAGUUACGAUUUGUUGCAAGGUUAAGCGGAAAAAGCGGAGCCGUAGCGAAAGCGAGUCUGAAUAGGGCGCAUAAGUAACAGGUCGUAGACCCGAAACCAGGUGAUCUACCCAUGUCCAGGAUGAAGGUAAGGUAAUACUUACUGGAGGUCCGAACCCACGCACGUUGAAAAGUGCGGGGAUGAG
RNAcentral lists this ribosomal RNA (391 nucleotides) under Listeria monocytogenes. RNAcentral's name for it is "partial 23S ribosomal RNA". It matches the Rfam family "Bacterial large subunit ribosomal RNA", at positions 415 to 808 of the family's 2925-position model. The record is from RNAcentral. Lineage: Bacteria; Bacillati; Bacillota; Bacilli; Caryophanales; Listeriaceae.